AAAUCAAAUCAUGUAAGUUUUUAAUGUCCGAACAGACUACCCUCUAUAAGCUCCUUCACCAAAAAUAAAAAUUAAUUCAACAUCGAGGUCAUAAACUUAAUUAUUAAUAAGAACUUGCUAACUAAAUAAUGCUGUUAUCCCUAGAGUAACUUUAAACUUCUUAUAAAUUAAAAAUUCCAAAAAUCUUUAUCUUCAAAUAUUACCCCAAUCAAAAUUACAUAUAAUAAUAAGCUUCUAGGGUCUUCUCGUCCCAAAAAUUUAUAAAAGCAUUUUUACUUUUAAUUUAAAUUCAAAAUAAUCAAAUAAAACCUUUCUUUUUAGUCUUAACCCUUCAUUCCAGCUUCCAAUUAAAAAA
Molecule: ribosomal RNA, 355 nt
Filed under: Cearinus corniger
Lineage: Eukaryota; Metazoa; Arthropoda; Arachnida; Opiliones; Gonyleptidae
Description: partial large subunit ribosomal RNA
Source: RNAcentral